AUGGUUGUUACCUGGAAAUUUGAUAUUUCACAAUGGGUUGUGACAAGGCUUAUCAUUGAGCAUAACCAUGAUCUACAUCCACCAGGGGAAGUCAGGUUCCUUAGGUCACACAAAUAUAUCACUGAGCAAGAGAAAGACUUGAUCAGAACUUGCAAAAGAGUAAACAUACCAACUAGAAAGACUAUGGCAAUAAUGGCAUUCUUUCGAGGAAGAGGGCUUUCUUUGUUGCCAUACACAGCAAAGCAGAUUAGCAACAUGGGCACGAAAAUGAGAAGAGAUAAUGGCUUGAAUGGCAUGAUGCAAGUGGUCUCAUUUUUUGAACAGAAAAAAAAUCAGAAGAUCCUCUAUUCUUCUACUCAUUCAAAAUAG
Molecule: ribosomal RNA, 369 nt
Filed under: Triticum aestivum (bread wheat)
Lineage: Eukaryota; Viridiplantae; Streptophyta; Magnoliopsida; Poales; Poaceae
Description: partial small subunit ribosomal RNA
Source: RNAcentral